This 72-nucleotide transfer RNA is filed under the name Cyanobacterium aponinum PCC 10605. RNAcentral's name for it is "tRNA-Trp (CCA) (tRNA-Trp-CCA-1-1)". It matches the Rfam family "tRNA". Rfam says of the family: Transfer RNA (tRNA) molecules are approximately 80 nucleotides in length. Their secondary structure includes four short double-helical elements and three loops (D, anti-codon, and T loops). The record is from Rfam by way of RNAcentral. RNAcentral also lists the same sequence under 10 other names. Lineage: Bacteria; Bacillati; Cyanobacteriota; Cyanophyceae; Chroococcales; Geminocystaceae.
ACGUCCUUAGUUCAGUGGUAGAACGUCGGUCUCCAAAACCGAAUGUCAGGGGUUCAAAUCCUCUAGGACGUG